This 484-nucleotide long non-coding RNA is filed under the name Callithrix jacchus (white-tufted-ear marmoset). RNAcentral's name for it is "lncRNA (ENSCJAG00000086416.1)". Lineage: Eukaryota; Metazoa; Chordata; Mammalia; Primates; Cebidae. The record is from RNAcentral.
CUGAGGUGGGAGGAUCACCUGAGCCUGGGAGUUUCAGGCUGCAGUGAGCCAUGAUUGUGCCACUGCACUCCAGCCUGAGCUACAGAGUGAGACACUGUCGGGGAAAAAGCAAAAAAAGGCAGAAAAAGAAUGAGUAAGGGAAGAGACAGCUUGGAGUCCCCCACGGAUAAAUGAAUGCAUUCACCUGGAAAUAAUAUAUCAUUUCCACUCAUGUUCCACUGGCCAAAGAAUAUCAAGGGGAUGGAGAAUUUCAGUGACCACUCCCUUUUACCCCCACCACAAACUGAAGGAAGAGAAGAACUGGAACUACAGCAAGGUCACUGAAGAGGUGAAAAAGCUAACUGACUUGAAAAGGAUCACCCACAUAGCCAGAAAUGCAGAUUAUGCCGGUAUGUACAAAAUGUUUUUCAUACAGGUGUCCGUUGCAAAUCUUUCCACUAACGUGCAUACAAAGGUAAACUAUGAAUUCUUAGUGGGGAUGGGG